GAUGAACGCUGGCGGCGUGCCUAAUACAUGCAAGUCGAGCGAACGGACGCGAAGCUUGCUUUUCUGAUGUUAGCGGCGGACGGGUGAGUAACACGUGGAUAACCUACCUAUAAGACUGGGAUAACUUCGGGAAACCGGAGCUAAUACCGGAUAAUAUUUUGAACCGCAUGGUUCAACAGUGAAAGACGGUCUUGCUGUCACUUAUAGAUGGAUCCGCGCUGCAUUAGCUAGUUGGUAAGGUAACGGCUUACCAAGGCAACGAUGCAUAGCCGACCUGAGAGGGUGAUCGGCCACACUGGAACUGAGACACGGUCCAGACUCCUACGGGAGGCAGCAGUAGGGAAUCUUCCGCAAUGGGCGAAAGCCUGACGGAGCAACGCCGCGUGAGUGAUGAAGGUCUUCGGAUCGUAAAACUCUGUUAUUAGGGAAGAACAUAUGUGUAAGUAACUGUGCACAUCUUGACGGUACCUAAUCAGAAAGCCACGGCUAACUACGUG
Molecule: ribosomal RNA, 497 nt
Filed under: uncultured bacterium
Lineage: Bacteria
Description: partial 16S ribosomal RNA
Rfam family: Bacterial small subunit ribosomal RNA
Source: RNAcentral